CCUACGGGGGGCAGCAGUGAGGAAUAUUGGUCAAUGGACGCAAGUCUGAACCAGCCAUGCCGCGUGCAGGAAGACGGCUCUAUGAGUUGUAAACUGCUUUUGUACGAGGGUAAACGCAGAUACGCGUAUCUGUCUGAAAGUACCGUACGAAUAAGGAUCGGCUAACUCCGUGCCAGCAGCCGCGGUAAUACGGAGGAUUCAAGCGUUAUCCGGAUUUAUUGGGUUUAAAGGGUGCGUAGGCGGUCGGGUAAGUUAGAUGUGAAAUCCCGAGGCUCAACUUCGGAAUUGCCUGUGAUACUGGUCGGCUAGAGGGUAGUAGCGGUAGGCGGAAUGUAUGGUGUAGCGGUGAAAUGCUUAGAGAUCAGGCAGAACACCGAUUGCGAAGGCAGCUUACCGGGCUACUACUGACGUUGAGGCACGAAAGCGUGGGGAGCAAACAGGAUUAGAUACCCGGGUAGUC
This 460-nucleotide ribosomal RNA is filed under the name uncultured bacterium. Its description in RNAcentral is "partial 16S ribosomal RNA". It matches the Rfam family "Bacterial small subunit ribosomal RNA", at positions 338 to 795 of the family's 1533-position model. The record is from RNAcentral.